Molecule: ribosomal RNA, 402 nt
Filed under: uncultured bacterium
Lineage: Bacteria
Description: partial 16S ribosomal RNA
Rfam family: Bacterial small subunit ribosomal RNA
Source: RNAcentral
AAUAUUGCACAAUGGGCGAAAGCCUGAUGCAGCAACGCCGCGUGAGGGAUGACGGCCUUCGGGUGGUAAACCUCUCUUAGUGGGGAAGAAGCGAAAGUGACGGUACCUGCAGAAAAAGCACCGGCUAACUACGGUCCAGGAGCCGCGGUAAUACGUAGGGGGCAAGCGUUGUCCGGAAUUAUUGGGCGUCAAGUGCUCGUAGGAGGCUUGUCGCGUCUGCCGUGAAAACCCAGGGCUCAACCCUGGGCGUGCGGUGGGUAAGGGCAGGCUAGAAUGCGGUAGGGGAGAUUGGAAUUCCUGGUGUAGCGGUGGAAUGCGCAGAUAUCAGGAGGAACACCGAUGGCGAAGGCAGAUCUCUGGGCCGUAACUGACGCUGAGGAGCGAAAGCAUGGGGAGCGAACA